RNAcentral lists this ribosomal RNA (253 nucleotides) under uncultured bacterium. RNAcentral describes it as "partial 16S ribosomal RNA". It matches the Rfam family "Bacterial small subunit ribosomal RNA", at positions 524 to 776 of the family's 1533-position model. The record is from RNAcentral.
UACGGGGGGGGCAAGCGUUGUUCGGAAUUACUGGGCGUAAAGGGCGCGUAGGCGGCCUUCUAAGUCGGACGUGAAAUCCCUCGGCUUAACCGAGGAACUGCGUCCGAUACUGAAAGGCUUGAAUCCGGGAGAGGGAUGUGGAAUUCCAGGUGUAGCGGUGAAAUUCGUAGAUAUCGGGAGGAACACCGGUGGCGAAGGCGGUUCUCUGGGCCUGUACUGACGCUGAGGAGCGAAAGCGUGGGGAGCGAACAGG